AUGAAGAAAAUAAAACAGAGUAAAGUAUUAGAGAGACAUGAAGGUUUUUACUCUCUAUGUGGGAUGGAUAGGGAAGAUCUUCUUGAGAGAGGAAGACUUGAAUAAUGAGAAAAAGUUCAUUUAAUGGUAGAAGAGUGUACAAGGGAGAGGUGUGCAAAGGCCCUGAGAUGGGGAUGAAUUUGAAGCUCCGGUGGGAACAGAGAAUAAGCCCCCAUAGAGCAAUAAUAGGAGAGGUUAGAGAGGUAGGCAAAGGGAAGAUUCUACUGACUUUUCUAGACCACAGCCAGGAGUAUGAUGUAUAUUCUAAGUGGAAUGGAAGCCACUGGAGGAGGUUCCCAAGGGAGGAGCCUGAUCUAGCCCCCCCAUCCAGGUUCUGGGGAAACUGAACCUCUUCAGAGAAGCAUUCUAGACAUUUAAGCUAACCUAGUCCUUCUUUUUACAGUUGUAAAACAGACAUAGUCAUUCUCUGAUGAUUGUCUUUUGUAUUAGGGUUCUCCAGAGAAACAGAACCAACAGGAUGUGUGUGUGUGAGGAGAGAGAGAGAUUUAUUUUCAGGAAUUGGCUCAGGUUAUUAUGGAGGCUCACAAGUCUAAAAUUUGCAGGGUGGGCUGUUAGUCUGGAGACCCACAGAGUAGCCUAACCUACAGUUCAAGUCCAAAGGCCAUCUGCUGCAGAAAUCCCUCUUACUUGGGGGAGGUCAGUAUUUUGUUCUAUUCAGGUUUUCAACUGAUUGAGUGAAGUCCACCCACAUUCUGGAGGGCAGUCUGUUUUAUUCAAAAUCCUCUAGUUUAAAUGUUAAUCUCAUUCAAGAGAUCCUCACAGAAACAGCCAGAAUAACAUUUGGCUACAUAUCUGGGCACUAUGGCCCAGUCAGAUUGGUACAUAAAAUUAACCAUCAUGCUUUUCUUAUAGGACAAGACAAAGGAAGAAACAUUUUCCAUUUUAAGAACCAAUCUUGGAUGCAAAGCUUCCCCAUGGAAGAUGACAUGGCUUAAGGCUGGCUUGCCUUUGAGAAACAGGUUACAGAUGGUUUUCUGCACAGAGAGAACCCAUAUCAGAACACAAUGUUUUGAUGAAGACUCCCAUUUCAUGUCUCCUGAAAUGUACUGAUGCUUUUUGAUAGUAAGUGAGAGCAAACCAAGAAAAAAUGCACAUUGUUCAUUAAGUCAUCUCGUAAGUCUUUCAAGAACGCUAUUUGAGAAAUGUUGAUUUCCACAUUGCUAUACCCUUUGGCACACUGAGAUGUAUUAACUGGUAUAACUUCCUUCUUUAUAACUGGAAUACAGAUGAGAGGAUAGACAUGGAGCAGCCAUUUUGGAGGUCUGUGGCAACCGUGAAAAUAAAAGCCAUAUGUGAAGGAUGAUGAAACAAAAACAUAAAAAGAAGCUAUAAUGAUGUAAUGGAACUUCCAGUACCAUGCUUAGCUGUGUACUAUGGAUUUUUAAAAAAUAUGAUAAAAUAUCAACCUGUUUGGUAAAGCCACUGUUUCCCAGUAUUUUUUUCACAUCACAAAAUAUAUAGAAAAUGAUAAUAUUUGAUACUUACAAGGAAAAGGCAACUCAGACAAAGUUGAAUAUUCAGAAUGCUCUUUUUGCUCUCAAGUAGAAGUACCUUAUCUUGUCACACCUAUAACACAUCGGCAAAACAAUAAUGUACUGUGUAGCAUGCCUGUUGGGAAUCUCUGACUAAACCACAACAGUCAUAUUGUUUUUUCAAGGAGCUGAACAUAAUUUCUUACUAAUAGAGUUUCUCUAGCUAGACAAUGAGAUUAUUGAGAGUAAAACUAUGCAUUAUUUAUCUUGUUUCUCUCUUACCCAGUAUGCUGCUAGAAAUACAGUAAUUACUCAACAAAUAUUUAUUGAAUAAAUGAAAAGAAAAAAUAAUUCAUUAUUUCAGACUGACUGGUUUUCUCAUAGUUCUGGAUUGUGCUCCUUUCUGACUAAAAGGCGUUAUUCAUUUUCUCCCUGCCUGGAAAAACUUCCUAAUUCCUCUCCAUGUACCCAAAUCCUAUUCAUUCUUCAAAGUUCUUCUUAACUCUCAUCUCUUCCAUAAAACUCUUCUUAACAUUUUGGGUCAGAUCAUACCAUUUUAUUCCUUUCUCUGUACUUCUAUAAUUCAUGCUGAAAGAAAGGUUCACUGUGGCCUUAAAAAUACAGGUGUCCUCCAACUAAUGACCCAGCUUUUCCAGGUCAUAUGCUAGCCAUAUUUCCUAAUGACAGAAGGCUGUACUUUGGAUAUUCCUUUUCUAAAAACAUAUUUCAUUCCAUGAAAAUACAAACAAUUGACAAAAUAAAAAAUUAAUCAAGCAAACAAUAAAAAAAAUAAGAAUUACAUUUUAAAUGUUCUCCUUGGGGCAAUGCUUUGUCUGAGAUAAAUCAGCUGCAGUUUCCUAAAGUAUGAAUCCAGUAAAGUUGGGAUAAGCACACUAAAUUAGUCAGAAUCUCCCUAGGUUAAACACUGAGAUUUUUCAGCUCUUAGAACUGCAUUUAGAGAUAUUAUCAUCUGUCCCAAAAUUUCUACUGAAAAUUUGAUACAAGGUAGGCUUAUAAAGGUCUUUGGAUGGUAAACUAGAGCUGGGCCUUUUAUUUCCUGCAACAAUUCUCUCCUGUCUAAUUCAUCACAUUCAAUACUGUGGAGAAAACUCACCUUUCUGGACAUAAUUAGAUGCUUUUGGAUCAAUGCUUAGAGCUUCCCCUUGAGCGCUAGGAAUUCACUAGUAUUCCUCUUGCUACAAUCAAAUUAUUCUUUCCUCACUCUAAAAUAUCUUUUAUUUUUCACUUUUCCUGUUUUUCAGUAUUUUGGAGAGAUAAUAUUUUACCAGAAUUUUUGCUCAGGUAUGUUUGAUUGUACAUUCAUAUCAUCAAAAGUUAUUGCAUUUAUAUCCAUGUAUUUAGUGAACUGGAUACUGUUUAAACAGUCUGGUGUAUCACCCUCCUACUGCUUUCUUUUAGCUGGCUUUGAAGAAUUACUCAGGCCUCAGUUUGAGUCUACCAUGAGGAACACUGCCAUCUAACAUAGUACCUUUUUAGUAUAUCCAAAAGGGUACUAUAAUAUUUUUGAAUUUGAUAUAUUUAAUGUUUCUAGAAUUUGCAGCCUAUUAAGACCUUUAUUCUUUGUUGGAGUAUCAUUUGUAGGUAACCCCUUUAAAAUCUCUACUGAUAAAUACAGCAGGACUGGUUGAGAUGUUGAAGAAGGGGCAAAGACUGAGAAAUGUACACUAGCCUUAGACCAAAAUUUUCUACUGUAGCUCUUAAAAUUUUUGUGACUUUGGACAAUAACUAAGUCAUUAUAAGUCUUUGCUUUCUCAUCUGGAAAAUGAAGCUGGUUCUAAACUUACCUACCACACAGAGUUGUUAUAAAAAUUCAUUAACAUAUACAACAUGCUUUGUAAAUUGAAAACUUUAUUGUGAAAAUCCAACUACAUAUGUUAGUAUCCAGUAUUCACACAUUGACCCACAUUCUCCCUAUGAAAGGGAAUAGUGUUUUUCAUAUUGUAGGGCUAUUUCACUAUUUUGAAUUGUAUUAAUGUUCUUAAUCAUUUGGUUAAUGUAUCCCUUGGAUAUUUCUGGGUUGGUUUGCUCCCAGUUUGCUACCAAACUGAAAUAUUACUGUACUGUACUCUGUUCUCAUUGAGGGAAGAAAUGCUUACCUUCUUGCUUAAAGUGAUUUAAAUCUGAAAUAAUGGGCUUUACACCUUCAAAUUUUUUAUAUUCCUUGAUAACUGGAUGGGUAAUAAAUGUUCUAAAUUUGUUGAGCAUUAAACACUCAUGGCUUAUAAACAGA
This is a long non-coding RNA of Aethalodelphis obliquidens (Pacific white-sided dolphin), 3783 nucleotides long. RefSeq lists it as uncharacterized. The record is from RefSeq and is a predicted model, not a curated record. The transcript is spliced from 5 exons. Lineage: Eukaryota; Metazoa; Chordata; Mammalia; Artiodactyla; Delphinidae.